UUCCAGACUCCUACGGGAGGCAGCAGUGGGGGAUAUUGCACAAUGGGGGAAACCCUGAUGCAGCGACGCCGCGUGUGGGAAGACGGUCCUCUGGAUUGUAAACCACUGUCCCCAGGGACGAAGAUGACGGUACCUGGGGAGGAAGCUCCGGCUAACUACGUGCCAGCAGCCGCGGUAAUACGUAGGGAGCGAGCGUUGUCCGGAAUUACUGGGUGUAAAGGGAGCGUAGGCGGGGAUGCAAGUUGGGUGUCAAGACUGCCGGCUCAACUGGUAGUCGCGCUCAAAACUGCAGCUCUUGAGUGAAGUAGAGGCAGGCGGAAUUCCUAGUGUAGCGGUGAAAUGCGUAGAUAUUAGGAGGAACACCAGUGGCGAAGGCGGUCUGCUGGACAGCAACUGACGCUGAGGCGCGAAAGCGUGGGGAGCAAACAGGAUUAGAUACCCGCGUA
RNAcentral lists this ribosomal RNA (446 nucleotides) under uncultured bacterium. RNAcentral describes it as "bacterial SSU rRNA". It matches the Rfam family "Bacterial small subunit ribosomal RNA", at positions 329 to 792 of the family's 1533-position model. The record is from RNAcentral.